CGCACAUGGGCGGCUCGAUGGGGGGCGGAAAAGGUCGGUUAGUAAAAGCUGAAAUGUACAGGGGUCUGGUAUAGGUUGGGUUUCGACACUGAACCACAUGAUGGCGCCACUUCGAAAGCAUAGGCACUGUUAUAAAUACACAUGAUUAGAGAAAUUAGAAGGAUUAUAGUAAGACUGGAAUUGGAUUAAAGAUAACAAAAAAAGGGUAGCUGAAGUUUCGUGAAAGCUUUAGGACAUUCCACUUAUAAAUGAACGUGCUAAAAAGGUGCUAAAGCGAGAGAACAUUAAGAAUCAGAUUGACUUCAUAGAAACUAUGCGAUUACAAUUUUAGAAGAAAACCUAGACAGAUUGAAUAACGCAAUGUAGGGCACAUCCUUUAUCACUCAAGAGUGAAUUCAUAAAUUUUCCAGAUAGGUUUUACGACGUCUGAAAACAAGAAAAAAUAGUCAAAAGAGAAUGGGAGACACAAAAGAUUACAGCUGACGAAGUGUAAUGAUAAUGACGUUGCAACAUGUGAAUUCCCCACCCUUUUUGUAUUCUCAUGAUGAUGUUUGCUUAAUAUUUAAAACAAGCACUUUAAAGUCUCAUUAUUAUUAUUUUAAAACUAGUUUUUUGCUGAGCUCUUCAAAAAGAAUAACAUUGUUUACGUAGUAAAUUACUAGAGUUUGUUCGACAUAACUUUUAUGUAUAGAUGACAGAAAGUUAUGUACUGUGAUGAAGUUAGCUGGAUUUUGCUUCGCUUUUUUAAAUGUUUGUUUGCUACAUUUCAGGCGCGGAUACAGGAUUUCGUUUAGGGGGGGGGCAAUUUUUGUGAGAUUUUACCUAUCUCCCAGAUAUUCUUUCUAAAUCAAAAAAUUUACAAAAUUUUAACUAGUAUACUCUUUUUCACAUAACAUGGGUGACAUUUGGUUGUUUUCGUUACACGUAUAGUGUACAGUAGAACCUCGAUAAUCCGAAUUAAUUGGGAAAAAGGUGUGUUCGGAUUAACGAUUUGUUCGGAUCGGCGAUUUUCCCAAAAAUCUGUAAGGAAAUUGAAUAACAACUUCAUACACAGUUGAAAACAAACUUCAAGAAAUAAACCUUAAUUUUAUUAAACAAAAUUAAAGAAUUCUUAAUCUUAAGCAACAUUGGAUAAUAGAUACAUUCUAAAAAAAUAUUACUCCAUGACCAUAAACACGCUAUCUUUUUGGAAUCAACACGCCGGGAUCUAUACCCUGAAAUUUUUCAGAAUUUUUAGACGAAUUUUUCAAAAAUGAAAUUUUCCAUUAUGUAUUCUCGACGAUUUUCGAAAUUUAACUAAAUACAUUUUCUUGUAGAUUUUUGGCCUCAGAAGUCAUUUCUGGCUUCAUUUCUUCGAUAACUUAAACCAUUUUUCCAGAUUCGACCAGUUAAAAUACUUACGGCAAUUUUUAAAAAUUUCGAAAAAUCCGAAUUUCACACCGAAUUUUCGAAAAUAUUGCUCAGUUACCAUUAACAUGCUAUAUUUUUGGAAUCAGCACGUCGGGAUAUACAUAUAUCCUCGAAUUUUUUCAGAAUUUUUAGGAAACAUUUUCAAAAAUGAAAUGUUCCUCAUGCAAAUUUUGACCUAUUUUCGACGAUUUUCGAAAUUUAGCUAGCUAAAUAGCUUUUCUUGUAGAUUUCGGGCCUCAUUUCUUCGAUAACUUCAACCUUUUUUCCAGAAUUAGUUUAUUAAUUCAGUGCAUUGAAAUAUGGCAAUUUUUAAAAAUUUCAGAAUAUUCCAUACAACAUAUGUAAAAAGAUCUUGCGUCAUUUUUGCAAGUAGAUGCGUGUUUCCAAGUUCAGUUCGGAUUGCAGAGUUUUUGUUCGGAUUAAUGAAGCAUCGACUUCAAAUAGCCUCUGUUCGGAUUACCGGAUGUUCGGAUAAUCGUGAAUUCGGAUUAUAGAGGUUGUAGGUACUGUAUUUACAAAAUGAAAUGCGAUUUCAAAAUUUUGAAAUUGGUCAAAAUAAAGUACCUCGGUCGUGUGUCAGGGGGGGGCAAUUGCACCCAUUGCCCCCCCCCUGGAUCCGCGCCUGCUACAUUUAUUACAAUGAGAUAUAAAAAAUAUAAGUUAGAUUAUAUCAACAUAAGACCAUGUUAAACAUCAAUAUAUAGAGGUGAUUUUUUAAAA
This is a long non-coding RNA of Zophobas morio, 2130 nucleotides long. RefSeq lists it as uncharacterized. The transcript has 2 exons. Lineage: Eukaryota; Metazoa; Arthropoda; Insecta; Coleoptera; Tenebrionidae. The record is from RefSeq and is a predicted model, not a curated record.